GUGUGUCGUCAUAGUGACUCACUCAGGCUUCAGCUGAACUCGCUUUGUGAAACCGAAAACCCAGAGUUUUCGUUAACUCAGGGUAUACUUACUCAGUUUUUCCACUAAACCGGCUUCCUGAAACAGGGCCCAGGUGUACGGCCCAGGGCUUCGGAGACAAGCAGCCGAAACUGAAACUAAAAACUAAUGGAAAGUAAGAGCAGCCACACCAAGACCUACUUAACAAUCCAAGACGGCAGCAGUGAAUAAUGUAGUCCGUAAAUCCGAGGUGUAUUGAACGCAGCAGCUAUCAGUACUUACAGCUGGAGGAAGGCGGGGCG
Astatotilapia calliptera (eastern happy) is the source of this 320-nucleotide long non-coding RNA. The record is from Ensembl. NCBI's taxonomy places the organism in Eukaryota, Metazoa, Chordata, Actinopteri, Cichliformes, Cichlidae.